CAUGCAGUCGAGCGGACAGAAGGGAGCUUGCUCCCGGAUGUUAGCGGCGGACGGGUGAGUAACACGUGGGUAACCUGCCUGUAAGACUGGGAUAACUCCGGGAAACCGGAGCUAAUACCGGAUAGUUCCUUGAACCGCAUGGUUCAAGGAUGAAAGACGGUUUCGGCUGUCACUUACAGAUGGACCCGCGGCGCAUUAGCUAGUUGGUGGGGUAAUGGCUCACCAAGGCGACGAUGCGUAGCCGACCUGAGAGGGUGAUCGGCCACACUGGGACUGAGACACGGCCCAGACUCCUACGGGAGGCAGCAGUAGGGAAUCUUCCGCAAUGGACGAAAGUCUGACGGAGCAACGCCGCGUGAGUGAUGAAGGUUUUCGGAUCGUAAAGCUCUGUUGUUAGGGAAGAACAAGUGCGAGAGUAACUGCUCGCACCUUGACGGUACCUAACCAGAAAGCCACGGCUAACUACGUGCCAGCAGCCGCGGUAAUACGUAGGUGGCAAGCGUUGUCCGGAAUUAUUGGGCGUAAAGGGCUCGCAGGCGGUUUCUUAAGUCUGAUGUGAAAGCCCCCGGCUCAACCGGGGAGGGUCAUUGGAAACUGGGAAACUUGAGUGCAGAAGAGGAGAGUGGAAUUCCACGUGUAGCGGUGAAAUGCGUAGAGAUGUGGAGGAACACCAGUGGCGAAGGCGACUCUCUGGUCUGUAACUGACGCUGAGGAGCGAAAGCGUGGGGAGCGAACAGGAUUAGAUACCCUGGUAGUCCACGCCGUAAACGAUGAGUGCUAAGUGUUAGGGGGUUUCCGCCCCUUAGUGCUGCAGCUAACGCAUUAAGCACUCCGCCUGGGGAGUACGGUCGCAAGACUGAAACUCAAAGGAAUUGACGGGGGCCCGCACAAGCGGUGGAGCAUGUGGUUUAAUUCGAAGCAACGCGAAGAACCUUACCAGGUCUUGACAUCCUCUGACAACCCUAGAGAUAGGGCUUUCCCUUCGGGGACAGAGUGACAGGUGGUGCAUGGUUGUCGUCAGCUCGUGUCGUGAGAUGUUGGGUUAAGUCCCGCAACGAGCGCAACCCUUGAUCUUAGUUGCCAGCAUUCAGUUGGG
RNAcentral lists this ribosomal RNA (1096 nucleotides) under Bacillus sp. (in: firmicutes). RNAcentral describes it as "bacterial SSU rRNA". It matches the Rfam family "Bacterial small subunit ribosomal RNA", at positions 54 to 1135 of the family's 1533-position model. Lineage: Bacteria; Bacillati; Bacillota; Bacilli; Caryophanales; Bacillaceae. The record is from RNAcentral.